AUUUGUGUUAUGAAAUUAAAAUCUCUUGUAAUAAAAAAAAUGAGAGUAUUAGAAAAGCAUGAGAAUUGAGAAGUAGUCCUCAUAAACCAGAAACAGAAACGAACUAACCAAGAGAUAAAGAAAGAAAGUGUUGGAGAAUCAUUUGUAAGUUUUUGUUUUUCUGCUUACACUUUUUUUAUCACUACUUUUUUGUUUUUGGGCAUAACUGAGAUUUUGAUUGCAUGAUUUGGUUUUUCACUGUUGGCUUUGUGAAAAUAACUUAUGUUUAAUUUGAUUAGGGUUUAUCUGCAUCUCAAGUAUAGAAUGGGGGUUUCUGUUUUUCUGAGUAAAAAUAGGGUCUUUGGGUAGUCCAAAAUCCCAAUUAGAUUCUCUCAUAAAGGGAAAUAUCUGCAUUGUAUUUUAGGACAUCGUUGUGUGAAGUCCAAUGAUGUAAGUGGAUAAUGGUGAAAAUUUGUCAUCUUGAAGGGGAAUUUUGGUAUCAAAUGAAAUUGUUAGGGGGUUUCAGUGUAAAUGCUUUAUUUUUAGUAUGGUAUCUAACUAUCUUUAAUGUUAACCCACUUGUAUUUUAAUUCCUUAAUUUUAAUAUUUGCUAACGACUUUAAAAAUAAUUCAGUUUCGUCAAGUAAAGUGGCUAUGCUAUAAAAUAAGAGUGCUACUUUUAACUUAAAUAUAUUUUUUUCAAUCAGUCACAAGGUAUGUACUUAGAGUGACACGACACUCGUUAUGCGACCACAUAUGUGCACUCAAGUCGCAUAGGUGUGGUAAGCACAAAUCGAAGUCUUCAAUUUUUUUCCAAGUCAACAACAUAUGAAUAUUGCAGUGGGUCAUGAAUCCUUUUUGUUUUGAAUAACUAUUUGGUCAUGCACCAUUUACUCACUAACAUCAUGACUAACUCUUUUUCUAUGUUUCUAAGUCUUUUAUACUAAUUUAUUUCUUUGAGCAAUUUCCUACAUGAAUGUUGGUGUAGGGAUUUGUUUCUUUUUUAACCAUUUCUUUCUCCAUCACUGAGCCUACUUACUUGACUCAUUGCCCCAAAAACUGAAGCUAUGUAAAGCUAUUCCCACGGGAACAAGUUUGUUUGUAAUCUAUUUAUUAUUUUAUUUAAAGUUUGGUUUGAUAUUGUCAAAGCUUGAUAU
This 1136-nucleotide long non-coding RNA is filed under the name Lupinus angustifolius (narrow-leaved blue lupine). RNAcentral's name for it is "long non-coding RNA (LANG_LNC000973)". Lineage: Eukaryota; Viridiplantae; Streptophyta; Magnoliopsida; Fabales; Fabaceae. The record is from RNAcentral.